GGAUGAAACCUGAAUUGGUGUCAGAAAAAGAAGUUGGAACCAUGGAAGAGCACUCUAGAGUGUAAGGUUUUCAAGUUUAAGUAAAACAGGGCAAUGGAAGCGGAAGUGCUAACAGUAGGAUUAACAUAGUUACUAUAGGGGUCCCCAAAAGCACACACUUAAGAGAUGGGGGAAGUGAUGAGGAUAUCAACCACAGUUAGAUUUGCAGAAAGGUGGGAAUUGUAGCUAGUUAAGAGAGGAGAUUAAGAUGGUUUGGACCUAUGCAUUGUAAACCAACAAAUGCACUAGUAUGGA
This 294-nucleotide unclassified non-coding RNA is filed under the name Hevea brasiliensis (rubber tree). The record is from RNAcentral. Lineage: Eukaryota; Viridiplantae; Streptophyta; Magnoliopsida; Malpighiales; Euphorbiaceae.